RNAcentral lists this ribosomal RNA (277 nucleotides) under Strombidinopsis acuminata. RNAcentral's name for it is "partial Eukaryotic small subunit ribosomal RNA". It matches the Rfam family "Eukaryotic small subunit ribosomal RNA", at positions 131 to 405 of the family's 1831-position model. Lineage: Eukaryota; Ciliophora; Spirotrichea; Choreotrichida; Strombidinopsidae. The record is from RNAcentral.
UCUGUUACUCGGAUAGCCGUAGUAAUUCUAGAGCUAAUACGUGCAACAAACCCCGACUUCUGGAAGGGACGCAUUUAUUAGAUAAAAGGUCGACGCGGGCUUAGCCCGUUGCUCUGAUGAUUCAUGAUAACUCGACGGAUCGCACGGCCAUCGUGCCGGCGACGCAUCAUUCAAAUUUCUGCCCUAUCAACUUUCGAUGGUAGGAUAGUGGCCUACUAUGGUGGUGACGGGUGACGGAGAAUUAGGGUUCGAUUCCGUAGAUGGAGCCUGAGAAACG